Molecule: long non-coding RNA, 540 nt
Filed under: Coffea arabica (coffee)
Lineage: Eukaryota; Viridiplantae; Streptophyta; Magnoliopsida; Gentianales; Rubiaceae
Description: long non-coding RNA (CARA_LNC004658)
Source: RNAcentral
AUUACAAAAAAUGGAUGUUACUAAUAUUCUCUGAUUAGAUCUUUUCAGAAUUAGAGCAGAACAGGUUCAAAGGCUAACAUAUGCUGAAAUAGCUGUCGGACGCACAUAAAGACUGCAUCGGUCGUCCGACAACCAUUGAGUAACUUCAGACGCAUGAAAAACCCACUCUCGGACGUCCGAAGAGGAUAAGCCAAGUCCUCUAAGCUAAUUGACCUCGAUCGGACGUACAACACCUGAUUACCGGACGUCUGAUAAACGUUGCGACACUUCGGACGUAAAACAUUGGAGGCACCGGACAUCCGAACGAAUUGAAGGAGAAUUCUCAGUUUUACAUCAUACCUUCGGACGCAUAUUCUGGGGGUACCGGAUGUCCUAAACAAUUCAAGAAAACUUCUUGAACUCACUGCCUGCGUUCGGAUGCAGAAAACUAGCCUACCGGACGUCCGACACCACCAACGGCUAGUUGACUCUUCAGCUGCCUUCUAUCCGUUGGUAGUAUUAAUUGAAAAUUUUUUUGGUCUCUUAUAAAAAGGAAAAAGU